GAUGAACGCUGGCGGCGUGCCUAAUACAUGCAAGUCGAACGCUUCACUUCGGUGAAGAGUGGCGAACGGGUGAGUAAUACAUAAGUAACCUGGCAUCUACAGGGGGAUAACUGAUGGAAACGUCGGCUAAGACCGCAUAGGUGUAGAGAUCGCAUGAACUCUAUAUGAAAAGUGCUACGGGACUGGUAGAUGAUGGACUUAUGGCGCAUUAGCUUGUUGGUAGGGUAACGGCCUACCAAGGCGACGAUGCGUAGCCGACCUGAGAGGGUGACCGGCCACACUGGGACUGAGACACGGCCCAGACUCCUACGGGAGGCAGCAGUAGGGAAUUUUCGGCAAUGGGGGAAACCCUGACCGAGCAACGCCGCGUGAAGGAAGAAGUAAUUCGUUAUGUAAACUUCUGUCAUAGAGGAAGAACGGUGGAUAUAGGGAAUGAUAUCCAAGUGACGGUACUCUAUAAGAAAGCCACGG
RNAcentral lists this ribosomal RNA (471 nucleotides) under uncultured bacterium. RNAcentral describes it as "bacterial SSU rRNA". It matches the Rfam family "Bacterial small subunit ribosomal RNA", at positions 28 to 496 of the family's 1533-position model. The record is from RNAcentral.